CCCACCCAAUCUAAAUUUGGAAAAUACACUUUUAUAAUAAAAAACUUGCAGGUAUGAACAUAAUUGUAAGUAUACACCGGCACUGUAUUGACAUACAUAAUUCCACCAAGCUUGACCAACACAUUCAUCACCAAUUACGAUACUGAGCUGCUCUCCAGUUGGUUGUAUUUGCUGUGAUUCGACCACUUCUUGUUGUUGUAUAAAACAAAGUACUGGCUUCAAUAGCAUCAUUUGCAUUUGAUAAUUUGGAUAGUUUUGUUUACUUUUAUUAUUAAUAUCUUUAUUUUUUGAAGUAGACAUGCAUGGGUUUUUGUUUGGUGGCCCAACCGUGGACAUACAAAAAAAUUGGCGGCCCAUCGAAACUGCCCAAAGAUUUUCCAUGGCCCAUCCCAAAUCACUCCAGCCCACCCUAGCAGUUACUUUAUGACCGGUC
This is a non-coding RNA of Paramuricea clavata, 433 nucleotides long. The record is from the annotation of a GenBank genome assembly. NCBI's taxonomy places the organism in Eukaryota, Metazoa, Cnidaria, Anthozoa, Malacalcyonacea, Plexauridae.